GACGAACGCUGGCGGCGUGCUUAACACAUGCAAGUCGAACGGUAAGGCCCUUCGGGGUACACGAGUGGCGAACGGGUGAGUAACACGUGGGUGAUCUGCCCUGCACUUCGGGAUAAGCCUGGGAAACUGGGUCUAAUACCGGAUAGGACCCUGGGAUGCAUGUCCUGGGGUGGAAAGCUUUCGCGGUGUGGGAUGGGCCCACGGCCUAUCAGCUUGUUGGUGGGGUGAUGGCCUACCAAGGCGACGACGGGUAGCCGGCCUGAGAGGGUGACCGGCCACACUGGGACUGAGAUACGGCCCAGACUCCUACGGGAGGCAGCAGUGGGGAAUAUUGCACAAUGGGCGCAAGCCUGAUGCAGCGACGCCGCGUGAGGGAUGACGGCCUUCGGGUUGUAAACCUCUUUCAGCACCGACGAAGCGCAAGUGACGGUAGGUGCAGAAGAAGGACCGGCCAACUACGUGCCAGCCGCCGCAGUAA
This 478-nucleotide ribosomal RNA is filed under the name uncultured bacterium. Its description in RNAcentral is "partial 16S ribosomal RNA". It matches the Rfam family "Bacterial small subunit ribosomal RNA", at positions 28 to 523 of the family's 1533-position model. The record is from RNAcentral.